AUAUCAAUAAGCGGAGGAAAAGAAACCAACAGGGAUUGCCUUAGUAACGGCGAGUGAAGCGGCAACAGCUCAAAUUUGAAAUCUGGUACUUUCAGUGCCCGAGUUGUAAUUUGUAGAGGAUGUUUCGGCGUCGGCGCCACCUGAAGUUCCUUGGAACGGGACGUCAAAGAGGGUGAGAGCCCCGUGUCUGGGUGGAUGACUUCGCCAUGUGAAACUCCUUCGACGAGUCGAGUUGUUUGGGAAUGCAGCUCAAAACGGGAGGUAAAUUUCUUCCAAAGCUAAAUACCGGCCAGAGACCGAUAGUGCACAAGUAGAGUGAUCGAAAGAUGAAAAGCACUUUGGAAAGAGAGUCAAACAGCGCGUGAAAUUGUUGAAAGGGAAGCGCUUGAGGUCAGACUUGGCCGCCGUUGCUCGGCGGGGCUCUCGCCCCGUUUGCUCUUCGGCGGUCAGGCCAGCAUCAACUUGGACGGUUGGAUAAAGACCGCGGGAAUGUGGCUCCUCCGGGAGUGUUAUAGCCCGCGGUGGAAUGCAGCCAGUCUGGGUUGAGGUCUGCGCAUCUGCUAGGAUGCUGGCGUAAUGGCCCCAAGCGGCCCGUCUUGAAACACGGACCAAGGAGUCUAACAUUCGUGCAAGUGUUCGGGCGUCAAACCCCUACGCGUAAUGAAAGUGAACGUUGGUGGGAAUUUUUUAUGCACCAUCGACCGAUCCUAAUGUCUUCGGAUGGAUUUGAGUAUGAGCACGUAUGUUGGGACCCGAAAGAUGGUGAACUAUGCCUAAGCAGGGCGAAGCCAGAGGAAACUCUGGUGGAGGCUCGCAGCGGUUCUGACGUGCAAAUCGAUCGUCAAAUUUGGGUAUAGG
RNAcentral lists this unclassified non-coding RNA (858 nucleotides) under Leptodiscella africana. RNAcentral describes it as "sequence contains 28S rRNA gene". It matches the Rfam family "Eukaryotic large subunit ribosomal RNA", at positions 40 to 921 of the family's 3401-position model. The record is from RNAcentral. Lineage: Eukaryota; Fungi; Ascomycota; Dothideomycetes; Muyocopronales.